UUGAACUUCACCAUAUUUCAUUGAUCCUACCUGAGUCUUAAAAAUGGCCUCAUUCAACCAAGAAAUAGCCAAGAAACAAUCUCAUGGUAGUUGCAUGUUAUAUUUAUAUUUUUACAUAAUUAAUUGUCAAAUUAGAUAACUAAAGUACAUACCUUUAUGUUGCAUGUUCAGAUGGAGUUGUUGCAGGAACCAAGGCUGCUGUAUUAGCUGCAAUUGUCACUGCUAUCCCAACUAUGGCUGUUGCAAAGAAGCUGCCAUGGGGCAGAUCUAAUCUCAAUUACACUGCACAGGCCCUUGUUAUUUCCACAGGUUAACUACAUUUUUAUACUUUAAAACUUGUCUUAUAUUUACGUUUCUUUGUUACAUAGAUGUGUAAAACAAAUUAACAAACAUACCAUGUAUAUGAGUAUAUCUUAUUUAUAGUAGAGCUAUUUGUAGGGGUCAAGUCAGGGCCGGCUCAACCAUUUUGGUGGUCUAAAGCGAAUUAAAAACUUGAGGAAAAAGACUAUUUGAGGAAAAUCCUCCUUUACCCGGGCUUGGGACCGGAAAAAUAAACUAAAAGGUUUAUUGUUGGCGAAGUUAAUUUAAUUUUUUUUUUUGUAUUUUUAUACAUUUUUUGUAUGUGUAAUGAUAAGUUCAACCCAGCCCAAAUAUCAUAUAUAUAAUUUUUUUUUAAGUUGGAGGUCCUAUUGAUUUGAAGGCCUAAACCCUAAACCUCAAAAUACUUAGGCUUGGACCGGCUCUGGGUCAAGCAAACCUUACGACAGAGAGCCGGCUCACACUAAGACACUGACUACAAAAACAAAAAAAAACUUUUUUUUAUGCUUACAAUAUAUAGUCUAGUAAGCUAGAUUUAUAUGAUUGUGUAACAUGAAUUUAUAUGAGUUUACAGUGGCGGGAGCAGCUUAUUUUAUAGUUGCAGACAAGACUGUUCUGGCAUCGGCUCGCCGAAACUCCUUCAAGAACAAUGAAGCAGGAAACUAAAGACUAGUUGUUAACGAUUUCGAAUUUCUCAAGAUCGUUUCGUUUUGUACUUAUAAAUAAUAAACUGAAGUU
This 1056-nucleotide long non-coding RNA is filed under the name Helianthus annuus (common sunflower). Its description in RNAcentral is "hypothetical non coding rna". Lineage: Eukaryota; Viridiplantae; Streptophyta; Magnoliopsida; Asterales; Asteraceae. The record is from RNAcentral.